UAUCUGGUAGUAUAUCGGUUAGUACACGCACCUAUCAUAAGGUUCUGAUGUCUUAGUACGCGCAAAAGCUGGGUUCGACUCCCAGCCAGAGAG
Molecule: non-coding RNA, 93 nt
Organism: Desarmillaria tabescens
Lineage: Eukaryota; Fungi; Basidiomycota; Agaricomycetes; Agaricales; Physalacriaceae
Source: the annotation of a RefSeq genome assembly